AUUAGGUUGAACUCGUCACCUUAAAGUGAUCAGAAAACCACAAAAUUUGCUCCAGCUUUCCUCUAAGAGACAUGUGGAAAAGAAUGAUACCUUUGGAAGAGAAUUGAGAUGGCAGUGGUGGGAUAACAUGAUGUUCAAUGAUGAAACUGAAGCAACGACAACAAAAAAACCACAAGAGUUACAACUCAUUGGUCAAAAGCACAUUCCUUUGGGUGAGAAAUAAGGGCAGAGCCCUUUCCAUGGCAACACAAAGUAUCAAGGUUUCUGGAGUAAGAUUGUGACCAGAGGGUAGGGAAACAUUGCCCAGUGAAAUAAGCUUUGAGACAUAGUUCUUUCAUAGACUAGACAUGCCAGUUGAAGAAUUGGCAUGAUUUUUUAGGCUGUUUUGUAUAAAUAACCUUGAUUAGACACUGGCAAAUCUGACAUUGUGCAUAGCUUUAAAGUUUUUAACUUAUGAUUCAUUUACUCUAGUUUGAACUUGCUCUGAAGUAAAA
RNAcentral lists this long non-coding RNA (494 nucleotides) under Cricetulus griseus (Chinese hamster). RNAcentral's name for it is "lncRNA (ENSCGRG00000024184.1)". The record is from RNAcentral. Lineage: Eukaryota; Metazoa; Chordata; Mammalia; Rodentia; Cricetidae.